ACACAGAUGGGUCUCCUCAUUGAAAUGGUCAUGUAGCAUGUUAGUUAUUAAUUUUUACUCAUCACAAACAUUUAAUUGUCUAGAUUGCUGCAUAAAAUUGAAGUGACAAUAUUUUCUAGGAAGUAGCUCAAGGGAGCGAACAAGACAAGGAGAAAUGAAGCCAAAUCGGGAAGGAGAAGUUAAGUAAUAAGUUACUUAAAAUGUGACCUUAACCUCAUAAUUCCUAAUCACUACUAGAUUCAUGAUAUCAUUGUAGUAGAUAACAUCUAUUUGUAUUAAUGUACAAGGAGAGUGUGCUUCAUGGCAAUCCUUUGGCAUUCAAUACCAUCAUCUCUCGCGGUAGUUGAGAACCUUUUUUAUUUAGAAAUCAAACAAACAAUACACUAUCAUCUCUCGUGCUAUGUGAACACAAUAAUGUAGGUUUGCUAAGAUAUGGCAAGCAAAGAUGAUGGACUUUUGAACCGACGACAAUGCUAGGGCAACGGCAGAUGAAAAUAAUGGGGUAGGAGGGCCUGGGAGUAAUACAAUGCUUUUUCUUCUUGCAAGGAUAGGACGGUUAUCGAUAUACAACGAUUACUAAGGAGGAAAGAAGCGGAAGAGAUAGUCGGUAUUUUCACUAUAUGGAUGGAAAAACAUGUGGUUCAGACACAUUUCUAAAUUAUCACUUGUUUGAUUAUUCUUUUUAAUAAUUUUUGUUGUUGUCCCGUGGCAAUGCACAGACAUUAAGCUAGUAAAGGAUAACAGACGACACACUUUGCACUUAUUUCAAGUUUAUGGUUCAUAUUUUUUGCACUUCCACAUGAACCUGCACAGCCUUUUAACUUCAUAGUUAUGUAAAUGUAAUAAGCUAUCGAGUCUUUGUUUCAAGUUUAUAUUGCUAUUUGCAGUAUAUUGUUCAUUAUUGUUGUCUGAUUUCAUUUUUUAUUGCUAUAGGUGAAGAUUGGAUGAGUGAAUC
This 955-nucleotide long non-coding RNA is filed under the name Triticum aestivum (bread wheat). RNAcentral describes it as "long non-coding RNA (TAES_LNC024365)". Lineage: Eukaryota; Viridiplantae; Streptophyta; Magnoliopsida; Poales; Poaceae. The record is from RNAcentral.